UUCCGGUUGAUCCUGCCGGACCCGACUGCUAUUUGGGUGAGGAUAAGCCAUGCGAGUUGAAUGGGAAACCUAAAGUUCCCAUGGCAAACUGCUCAGUAACACAUGAUCAACUUACCCUAUAGAGAAAAAUAACCUCGGGAAACUGAGGAUAAUGUUUCAUAGUUGAAUUGGCUUGGAAAAGUUUUUCGACGAAAGGGGUAAAAAAAAUGGUUUUUAUCUGCUAUAGGAUAGGAUCGUGUUCGAUUAUGGUUGUUGGUGAGGUAAUGGCUCACCAAGCCGAUAAUCGAUAGGGGCCGUGAGAGCGGGAGCCCCGAGAUGGGUACUGGGACAACGACCCAGGCCUUACGAGGCGCAGCAGGCGCGAAACCUCCGCAAUACACGAAAGUGUGACGGGGUUACCCAAAGUGUUCAAUUUUGAACUGUGGUAGGUGAGUAAUGUUCCCUACUAGAAAGAAGAGGGCAAGGCUGGUGCCAGCCGCCGCGGUAAAACCAGCUCUUCAAGUGGUCGGGAUAAUUAUUGGGCUUAAAGUGUCCGUAGCCGGUUUAGUAAGUUCCUGGUAAAAUCGGGUAGCUUAACUAUCUAUAUGCUAGGAAUACUACUAUACUAGAGGGCGGGAGAGGUCUGAGGUACUGCAGGGGCUAGGGGUGAAAUCUUAUAAUCCUUGUUGGACCACCAGUGGCGAAAGGCAUCACACUGGAACGCGCCCUGAUGGUGAGGGAACAAAAGCCAGGGGAACGAACCGGAUUAGAUACCCGGGAAGUCCUGGCCGUAAACCAAUGCAUACUACGUGAAGACACGGACAUGAGCCGUGUCCUGCCGUAAGGAAACCUUUAAGUGUGCCCCCUGGGAAGUACAGUCGCUAGGCUAAAACUAAAGGAUUGGCGGGGGAACACAAAAGGGUUGAA
Molecule: ribosomal RNA, 906 nt
Filed under: uncultured archaeon
Lineage: Archaea
Description: bacterial SSU rRNA
Rfam family: Archaeal small subunit ribosomal RNA
Source: RNAcentral